This 291-nucleotide long non-coding RNA is filed under the name Populus trichocarpa (black cottonwood). RNAcentral describes it as "long non-coding RNA (PTRI_LNC001758)". The record is from RNAcentral. Lineage: Eukaryota; Viridiplantae; Streptophyta; Magnoliopsida; Malpighiales; Salicaceae.
UUUUUUUUUACCUUUUUAAUUUUUUUUUUAAUUUCUUCCUUCAACAUUAGUUUUACUAGAAAUUGAGCUUUGUUUCUUUUUUAUUUUGCUUUUCAUGAGAUUAUCACGCUUUCAUUUAAUUUUUUCUUUGUUAUUAAAUAAGAUCAUAAAAACCUUUUAAGAAUAUUGAGAGGAUAUUUUUACUUGGUAUUGACAAACAUUUAUUUUUUGAGUUGAUCAUUGUAAAAAAAAAUUGGUUUAUUUAUUGUUGUAAUUUUUAUUCAUAUUAUUAAACUAGUUGUUAAUGACCCG